RNAcentral lists this ribosomal RNA (468 nucleotides) under uncultured bacterium. Its description in RNAcentral is "partial 16S ribosomal RNA". It matches the Rfam family "Bacterial small subunit ribosomal RNA", at positions 28 to 507 of the family's 1533-position model. The record is from RNAcentral.
GACGAACGCUGGCGGCGUGCUUAACACAUGCAAGUCGAACGGAAAGGCCCUGCUUUUUUGGGGUGCCCGAGUGGCGAACGGGUGAGUAACAGGUGAGUAACCUGCCCUUGACUUUGGGGUAACUUCAGGAAACUGGGGCUACUACCGUACAGGAGCUCCUGCUGCGUGGUGGGGGUUGGAACGUUUCGGCGGGUGGGGUUGGACUCGCGGCUUAUCAGCUUGUUGGUUGGGUAGUGGCUUACCAACGCAUUGACGGGUAGGCGGCCUGAGAGGGGGACCGGCGACAUUGGGACUGAGAUACGGACCAGACUCCUACGGGAGGCAGCAGGCGGGAAUAUUGCACAAUGGGCGGAAGCCUGAUGCAGCAACGCCGCGUGCGGGAUGACGGCCUUCGGGUUGUAAACCGCUUUCGCCUGUGACGAAGCGUGAGUGACGGUAAUGGGUAAAGAAGCACCGGCUAACUACGUG